This is a long non-coding RNA of Mustela erminea (ermine), 1725 nucleotides long. RefSeq lists it as uncharacterized. The record is from RefSeq and is a predicted model, not a curated record. The transcript is spliced from 6 exons. Lineage: Eukaryota; Metazoa; Chordata; Mammalia; Carnivora; Mustelidae.
GCCGUGGCGGGAAGGUGGUACCGCCCAGUCAGCAGUUCCUCAGGAGAGGUCGUGCGGUGAGGCCUUCGACACCGUGUGGACGGAAGCCAUUAAAUCUAGGCUGCAGAGCUGGCUGCAAGGACUGUUUGCGACCUGCCGCUCUGGGUUCUGGCGUUCCUUCAGAAGGGCGGCCAUGGGCCUCCGGGAGCGCCUUGGUCUGUGGCCCGGCUGAGGAGAAGCCCCGCUCUGUCCUUUGUUCUGGGCCCUGAGCGGGGCCCUUCGCUGUUCUGCUCCGUUGAUGGCACCUGUCGAGGAGGGCGUCUCACUUUCACUUGCUCCUCAUGGUCUCAACUCGCACAGCCUGGAGGAAGUUGCCGAACAAACGUAACCUCUGCGGCAGGCCUCGCUCCCCGACCUGCGCUCGCAGCGGGGCUGGCGGCGGCCGCGCACUCACGCACGGUGGAAACGAGCACGGGGAGGUGUGAAACGGCGCCGCGGAGGAUCUCAAACCGUUCCUCACGUGACAGAACUGACACUGGUGCGGCCGAUGUGGCCUGGGAUGGAGAGUUUGGAGUGCAACGUUAGAGCCUGAUUUUUCCUGGAGACGAAACGGAGCCCUGGGCCUUUGGUUUAGCGUCUACAAGCAUCUCUGCAUAGGAAAUUCGGGAUUGUUCUUUUUACCUGGAUUUUAGUCAGUGGACCCAGAGGUGAAGCAACAAUGCGUAUGGCCAGUGAGAACCAUGAACCUCUCGUCUGAUCUCGGAAGCUAAGCAGGGUCGGGCCUGGUGGAACAACAUAAAAUCAGAAGAAAAAAAAAAUUCUUACGUGCUCUGGCAAGCAAUUUUGAGUCUGCUGCUUUAAAAAUGAUGGUAAAAUUAAAAGAUGAGAGAAAUACAUCCAAGUGACUUUAACAGUCGAAUGCUGAGCAGUAAUUACACAUCAAGUCUGGAAUCACCAAACUGAAACAUAGGCUUGUCUCUUCUUUUUAUGUGUAGUCUGAGCUCCAAGGUGUUGCCUCUUUGACUUCAAUUGUAUUUGACUCUCGCUUUUGGAAUCCGGAUAUGAUGGCAUAAGGGAGUGUCCAAGAAACCCAUGGAGAGGCCCACAAAGGAGAACUGAGAAUCAUUGCCCAGGGUCCUGGUCUAGCUCUGGCCAAUAGCGAGCACAACUGGCUAGAAUGUGAGUGGACUGUUGUGAAAGUGGAUCUUCCUGCCCCAGUGUAUGACGAGUAUUCCCUUGAACUUGCUCUUACAGCUUGCUGUGGGUUGAUGCCUACAAUUAAUACAUGCUAAUCCUGAUGCCAUCACCACUGAUGUGGUCCAGGCCCUGAUGUCUUGACUUUGAAGAAGAGUGUCUUUGCAAGUCUUGUAUCAAUGGGAUCUGGUACAUUUCAUAAACCUCUGCCUAAGGCCUGUGUUAAGACUCAGCUUUUCACCUUUAGUCUUAAAGGAGGCAGAGAUGGGCCUCACAUCUUUGUUGAAAUUCUGCAAUAUGCAAUUUGAAGUUGGAUUGACCUUCAAGCUGACGAAGUAAAAUAAACAGUUUUAUAAAUGAAAAUGGCUAAUCUGAAAUAGAUCACAGCUAAGAACUUCAUUUUUUAUUCAUUCUCUUCAUACAAGGUUGAUAUCAUACAAGUGAAGAUCUAAUAUUGUGCUUCAUUGUGGGUCUCACUGAAGAUGCAGUUAGAGGAAAUUAAGGACACAACAGACUGGCAGAAACCGGAGAAUGUGUCUGUAGUCCCUUAUA